Molecule: non-coding RNA, 58 nt
Organism: Mycobacterium sp. 852002-51759_SCH5129042
Lineage: Bacteria; Bacillati; Actinomycetota; Actinomycetes; Mycobacteriales; Mycobacteriaceae
Source: Rfam
GCACCGACCCCUCUACUCGGAUCGUCCGGCACGUUCCUGCCGGUGAAGGGAUUGAUUC